AGUGAACGCUGGCGGUAGGCCUAACACAUGCAAGUCGAACGGCAGCACAGUAAGAGCUUGCUCUUACGGGUGGCGAGUGGCGGACGGGUGAGGAAUACAUCGGAAUCUACUUUUUCGUGGGGGAUAACGUAGGGGAACUUACGCUAAUACCGCAUACGACCUACGGGUGAAAGCAGGGGAUCUUCGGACCUUGCGCGAUUGAAUGAGCCGAUGUCGGAUUAGCUAGUUGGCGGGGUAAAGGCCCACCAAGGCGACGAUCCGUAGCUGGUCUGAGAGGAUGAUCAGCCACACUGGAACUGAGACACGGUCCAGACUCCUACGGGAGGCAGCAGUGGGGAAUAUUGGACAAUGGGCGCAGGCCUGAUCCAGCCAUACCGCGUGGGUGAAGAAGGCCUUCGGGUUGUAAAGCCCUUUUGUUGGGAAAGAAAAGCAGCAGGUUAAUACCCCGCUGUUCUGACGGUACCCAAAGAAUAAGCACCGGCUAACUUCGUG
RNAcentral lists this ribosomal RNA (492 nucleotides) under uncultured bacterium. RNAcentral's name for it is "partial 16S ribosomal RNA". It matches the Rfam family "Bacterial small subunit ribosomal RNA", at positions 29 to 507 of the family's 1533-position model. The record is from RNAcentral.